UAGUCCACGCCGUAAACGAUGUCUACUCGGAGUUUGGUGUCUUGAACACUGGGCUCUCAAGCUAACGCAUUAAGUAGACCGCCUGGGGAGUACGGCCACAAGGUUAAAACUCAAAUGAAUUGACGGGGGCCCGCACAAGCGGUGGAGCAUGUGGUUUAAUUCGAUGCAACGCGAAGAACCUUACCUACUCUUGACAUCCAGAGAAUUCGCUAGAGAUAGCUUAGUGCCUUCGGGAACUCUGAGACAGGUGCUGCAUGGCUGUCGUCAGCUCGUGUUGUGAAAUGUUGGGUUAAGUCCCGCAACGAGCGCAACCCCUAUCUAUAGUUGCCAGCACGUAAUGGUGGGAACUCUAUAGAGACUGCCGGUGAUAAGCCGGAGGAAGGUGGGGACGACGUCAAGUCAUCAUGGCCCUUACGGGAUGGGCUACACACGUGCUACAAUGGUGCAUACAGAGGGUCGCCAACCAGCGAUGGGGAGCUAAUCUCAGAAAGUGCA
Molecule: ribosomal RNA, 495 nt
Filed under: uncultured bacterium
Lineage: Bacteria
Description: bacterial SSU rRNA
Rfam family: Bacterial small subunit ribosomal RNA
Source: RNAcentral